UACGGAGGGUGCAAGCGUUAUCCGGAUUUACUGGGUUUAAAGGGUGCGCAGGCGGAUAUGUAAGUCAGUGGUGAAAUCUCCGGGCUUAACCCGGAAACUGCCGUUGAUACUAUAUAUCUUGAAUGCUGUGGAGGUAAGCAGAAUAUGUCAUGUAGCGGUGAAAUGCUUAGAUAUGACAUAGAACACCAAUUGCGAAGGCAGCUUGCUACACGGUUAUUGACACUGAGGCACGAAAGCGUGGGGAUCAAACAGG
RNAcentral lists this ribosomal RNA (253 nucleotides) under uncultured bacterium. RNAcentral's name for it is "partial 16S ribosomal RNA". It matches the Rfam family "Bacterial small subunit ribosomal RNA", at positions 524 to 776 of the family's 1533-position model. The record is from RNAcentral.